This 421-nucleotide long non-coding RNA is filed under the name Hordeum vulgare. RNAcentral describes it as "long non-coding RNA (HVUL_LNC021118)". The record is from RNAcentral. Lineage: Eukaryota; Viridiplantae; Streptophyta; Magnoliopsida; Poales; Poaceae.
GUCAGGCUGGUAGAAUCCUGGUGUACUUGAGAUCAAAAGGGAAUCCCGGUGUACUUGCUGUCAACUUCAUGGUUCUGUAGGAACCAGGAUAUGCCAAGACGCUUCAAAAAGAAUCAAAUACCGGAUGAAAAAAAAUACUUGUCAUGGAUCUGAAAGUAAAAGAAAGAUAGAGCCAAUACUGACAGGCUUUCGUGAGCAUGCAUGCAAGCCAGGACAAGGGCAGAUAGGCUGCAUGGCUACAUGCAAGCAUGCUCCCAAAAGGAGGGAAAAGUUAACAGCUAGCUUUCUAUCACAAAUGUCAACCCUACUACUACUAGCUAGCCAACCCCACUACUACCCCCGGACCCCAGUUCUGUAGCCAAGAACAAUAAUUUCUUGGAGGUUUUCUGAUUCGUCCCCUUCCUCCUGUCACUGUGCCCCC